This 236-nucleotide long non-coding RNA is filed under the name Vigna radiata. RNAcentral describes it as "long non-coding RNA (VRAD_LNC011792)". The record is from RNAcentral. Lineage: Eukaryota; Viridiplantae; Streptophyta; Magnoliopsida; Fabales; Fabaceae.
AGUAAAUGCCCUAUCAGUCCAUGUCCUUAUCUGAGUCAUACUCAUCCCCCUCCCGUGCAUCCUCAAAAUCAUCAUCCUUCAGGUCAUCCUCAUCUCUGCCUGGUGCUCCAGCUAGUCCUAACUCGUUGCCCUGUGCCUGCUCCUGAGGCCAAGCCAUCGUACUAUGGAACUCGUCCAUAGUCCACCUGUGCACUGGUAGUGUGUCAUACAAUCCUAUAAUCAUCUCUGCAUUAGCU